Molecule: ribosomal RNA, 279 nt
Filed under: uncultured bacterium
Lineage: Bacteria
Description: partial 16S ribosomal RNA
Rfam family: Bacterial small subunit ribosomal RNA
Source: RNAcentral
UGCCAGCCGCAGCGGUAAUACGGAGGGGGCUAGCGUUGUUCGGAAGAACUGGGCGUAAAGCGCACGUAGGCGGUCAUUUAAGUAGGGUGUGAAAUCCCCCGGCUCAACCGGGGAACUGCGCUCUAAACUGGAUGGCUUGAGUAAGAUAGGGGUGUGCGGAACUUCCGGUGGAGCGGUGAAAUGUGUUGAUAUCGGAAGGAACACCAGUAGCGAAAGCGGCACACUGGGUCUUAACUGACGCUGAGGCACGAAAGCUAGGGUAGCGAACGGGAUUAGAUA